GGAUAGCUCAGCUGGUUAGAGCAUGGUGCUGAUGAUGUCAAGAUUGCAGGUUCGAUCCCUGUAUGGGGCAGCA
Non-coding RNA from Podarcis lilfordi (Lilford's wall lizard), 73 nucleotides. The record is from the annotation of a GenBank genome assembly. Lineage: Eukaryota; Metazoa; Chordata; Lepidosauria; Squamata; Lacertidae.